Molecule: ribosomal RNA, 217 nt
Filed under: uncultured bacterium
Lineage: Bacteria
Description: partial 16S ribosomal RNA
Rfam family: Bacterial small subunit ribosomal RNA
Source: RNAcentral
ACGCUCGACACCUACGGAGGCAGCAGUGAGGAAUAUUGGUCAAUGGGCGCUAGCCUGAACCAGCCAAGUAGCGUGAAGGAUGAAGGCUCUAUGGGUCGUAAACUUCUUUUAUAUAAGAAUAAAGUGCAGUAUGUAUACUGUUUUGUAUGUAUUAUAUGAAUAAGGAUCGGCUAACUCCGUGGCAGCAGCCGCGGUAAUCUGAGCGGGCUGGCAAGGC